Molecule: ribosomal RNA, 540 nt
Filed under: Hysterangium salmonaceum
Lineage: Eukaryota; Fungi; Basidiomycota; Agaricomycetes; Hysterangiales; Hysterangiaceae
Description: partial small subunit ribosomal RNA
Rfam family: Bacterial small subunit ribosomal RNA
Source: RNAcentral
CAUUGGGAAUGAGAUAUCCCAAGUAGAGAACUCUACCAGCAGUCGAGAAUAUUAGUCAAUGCUCGCAAGAGUGAACUAGCUAACUGGAAUCAUGGGUGUGUCACUCGUGAUUUGUUUAAGGAAAAAUGAUGAUGUCACUUAAUACAAAUAGUGUUGUCCAAAGCUGGUGCCAGAAGACUCGGUAAGGCCAGAGACGCAAGCGUUAAUCAUCCUGAUCAGGCGUAAAGGGUUUGUAGGCAGCUUUAAUAAAUUAAAGAUUGAAUCAAAUAGAAGUCAAGAGAAUUCCUAGAUUAGGGUUGAUAUCUGUAUAAACUAGGAAGAAUUCUAAUUAGCGAAGGCACUUUUCUAUCUAAUGAUUGACGCUGAGACACGAAGGGGAGGAUCGACAAUAGGAUUAGAUACCCUGGCAUCCCUCUCUGUAAACGAUGAAUGGUAGUUGCUAAUCAGAAUAAUUAGUGACGAGGCUAACGCGUUAACCAUUCCGCCUUGUGAGUACGACUGCAAAGUUGAAAACAAAAAAAUUAGUCGGUUUCGGAGCAA